Long non-coding RNA from Alosa sapidissima (American shad), 258 nucleotides. RefSeq lists it as uncharacterized. NCBI's taxonomy places the organism in Eukaryota, Metazoa, Chordata, Actinopteri, Clupeiformes, Clupeidae. The record is from RefSeq and is a predicted model, not a curated record. The transcript is spliced from 3 exons.
CCCACAGGGGGUAAAGACAGGGCCAGAGGAAGACAUCUAUCUGACUGACUGGCGCUUACCACAGAAGAUUUGGAGCCCAUUAGUUCUUCCCUCAUCGUGUGAGAGGAUUGGAGCAUGGAUUACUGACCUGACCCCGCUAAUUUUUUCAAAUCAUCUCGAUGGACAGAUUUAAUGGAGAGAUGGACUUCGACCUUGAGCACUGACAAAGGGCAGCUGGGCAUAUUCUGGGUUGCCUUUUUUUUCAAAGGACGAUUGGAU